CCUACGGGGGGCAGCAGUGGGGAAUAUUGGACAAUGGGGGCAACCCUGGUCCAGCCAUGCCGCGUGUGUGAAGAAGGCCCUCGGGUUGUAAAGCACUUUCAGUGAGGAAGAACGCCUGGUGGUUAAUACCCAUCAGGAAAGACAUCACUCACAGAAGAAGCACCGGCUAACUCCGUGCCAGCAGCCGCGGUAAUACGGAGGGUGCGAGCGUUAAUCGGAAUUACUGGGCGUAAAGCGCGCGUAGGUGGCUUGAUAAGCCGGUUGUGAAAGCCCCGGGCUCAACCUGGGAACGGCAUCCGGAACUGUCAAGCUAGAGUGCAGGAGAGGAAGGUAGAAUUCCCGGUGUAGCGGUGAAAUGCGUAGAGAUCGGGAGGAAUACCAGUGGCGAAGGCGGCCUUCUGGACUGACACUGACACUGAGGUGCGAAAGCGUGGGUAGCAAACAGGAUUAGAUACCCGAGUAGUC
RNAcentral lists this ribosomal RNA (465 nucleotides) under Vreelandella stevensii. Its description in RNAcentral is "partial 16S ribosomal RNA". It matches the Rfam family "Bacterial small subunit ribosomal RNA", at positions 338 to 795 of the family's 1533-position model. Lineage: Bacteria; Pseudomonadati; Pseudomonadota; Gammaproteobacteria; Oceanospirillales; Halomonadaceae. The record is from RNAcentral.